Molecule: long non-coding RNA, 852 nt
Organism: Gopherus evgoodei (Goodes thornscrub tortoise)
Lineage: Eukaryota; Metazoa; Chordata; Testudines; Testudinidae
Exons: 7
Source: RefSeq, a predicted model, not a curated record
UCGGCCUGCAGCUCGCAGCCCCCCCCCGGACCACGCGUCUCUGAGCGGGGCGGAGCUCAGGGGCCCCGGCGGAGGCCCUCAGCCGCCGUGGGGUGAAGCUGCUGGCUCCGCUCCGGCUGUCCAGUACCAUGAGCCACUGUACAAUAAUGAGCUGCCAGACCACUGCUGUGCAGAAUGUAGGAAUCAAAGGCGUCAGCAAAUUGCAAAGAAGCAACUCUGCCAAGCCACUCCAGAACCUAGGUGUGUUUGGAUCUGAGGCUUCAUUCAGAAUUGUCCUCUCCUCUCUCAGCCAUCCUGCAUGUUCUGCCCUUCUUCGGCUUCAAGAUCCUGGCAGAGCAGGCUGUCAGCCUGCAUAGGGAAGGGAAAAACCUCUGUCUCUGUGAUAUCCUCAUUUGAACCAGCUCAGCUAUAAGUUGGCAACCCUAUGCAGCAAGCAGGCCCUCACAAAGUAAAGCAUCCAAGAACCUGCCCGAAGCCUGGGAGGGACAGAGCGGCUGACUGGGUACACCAGGACAGGAGCCAAGAGGAGCACUGUGCCAGGGAGGAAAUUUCCCAAGAAGGACAAACUGGAGUUGGACCCAGUACCCCUGCUGCCCAGAGCUAGGAAGACUUCUCCUUUGGCUCAAGAGUCAAAAGUACUUAAAAAAAAUCCAAAUCAACCCUACCAGAGGAGGGAGUCAGCAUACCAGAGGAGAAACGGAGUCACAGCCACACCUGAUGCCAGAAAGAUACAGUUUUCCCAUAGGAGGUGAAGGGGCACUAAAGGAGGAGCCAGAAAACAGAAGAGAAGAAGACAGCAAAGACAGAUGACCAAGAAUGUAGAUUUGGACAUGGUCAUUAGAACAACGCUUC